RNAcentral lists this unclassified non-coding RNA (245 nucleotides) under Hevea brasiliensis (rubber tree). The record is from RNAcentral. Lineage: Eukaryota; Viridiplantae; Streptophyta; Magnoliopsida; Malpighiales; Euphorbiaceae.
CAUUGCGAGAGGAAUACCAUCAGAGAGUCUCAACUCUUGAAAAGAAGGUAUAUGCUCUUACUAAGGAGAGGGACACACUUAGGAGGGAGCAAAGUAGAAAAAGUGAUGUGGCUGCUCUUUUGAAGGAAAAAGAUGAAAUAAUUAAUCAAGUUAUGGCAGAAGGCGAGGAGCUUUCAAAGAAGCAGGCUUCUCAAGAAUCUCAGAUUAGAAAAUUAAGGGCCCAGAUCAGAGAGCUUGAAGAAGAG